AUGGACGAAGCCGGAAGGGCCUCCGCUCCCGCGGUGGUGACGGUCACGGCCUCCGCCGCCGCCCCCUCGCCUCCUCCUCCGCCGCCCCCCGCCACGGCCACCGCCGCGGCCGCCGACCCGCCAUCGCCCGACCCUGACGCUCUCUAUGAAGAGGGAAUGUGGCAGCAGAUGGCCAUGAGCAGCGGCGCCACUAUGCAAUCUGGGCCAUAUCCUGUGCGGCCAGGGGAACCGGACUGCACCUACUACCUCAGGACUGGAUUGUGCAGGUUCGGCAUGAGCUGCAGGUUCAAUCACCCUCAGGACAGGAAUACGGCUAUUGCCUCUGCCAGAAUGAAAGGAGAAUAUCCUGAGAGGGUGGGACAACCUGAAUGUCAGUACUACCUGAAGACUGGAACAUGCAAGUUUGGGCCUACGUGCAAAUUCCAUCACCCUAGAGAAAAGGCUGGAAUCGCAGGAAUGGUGCAGCUAAACACAUUGGGAUAUCCACUUCGACCGAAUGAAAGGGAGUGUGCAUACUACUUAAAAACGGGACAGUGUAAAUAUGGGAAUACAUGUAAAUUUAACCAUCCAGAAAUUUUCAAUGCGGUGGCUUCUUCACGUGGUUCCCCUAUUUAUCCUCCUGUACAUAACUCUGGAAGCACUGGUCCACAUUCCUAUACUGGAACAAUGGCAAGCUGGACUUAUCCAAGAGGUUCUUUCAUUCCAAGCCCUAGAUGGCAAAGUCCUUCAAACUAUACACCGAUGAUUGUACCACAGGGUCUUGUUCAAGUACCAAGCUGGAACUCAUAUCCUGGCCAAAUGGUACCUGUUUCAUCUCCUGAGAGUCGACUACAGUCUCCAGGGGCUCAACAAUACUAUGGAACUUCUCGACAAGGUGAAGCCAGUGCAGGAAAUCAGGGAAUGCAAUCAUCCUACAGAUCCAGUUCGUUUCCUGCACCUCAGUAUGCACUGCAGAGAGAGAAUGUAUUUCCUGAGAGACCUGAUCAGCCAGAAUGCAUAUACUACAUAAAGACUGGAGAUUGUAAAUUUGGUGCAGUUUGCAAAUUCCAUCAUCCCCGGGUGCGCUCACAGCCUCCCCCAGACUGUAUCUUGAGCCCAAUGGGUCUUCCAUUACGCCCAGGGGAAGAGCUCUGCAAGUUCUACUCUCGAUAUGGCAUCUGCAAGUUUGGCGUAAACUGCAAGUUCGACCAUCCGAUGGCGGCUCCGAUGGGGGUGUACGCGUACGGCUACUCUGCCUCCGCGUCGCCCAAUGCUCCCAUGGCUCGGCGUCUCCUGGAGUCCCCCUCCGGGUCUGCGUACGCCUCCUAA
Molecule: ribosomal RNA, 1308 nt
Filed under: Triticum aestivum (bread wheat)
Lineage: Eukaryota; Viridiplantae; Streptophyta; Magnoliopsida; Poales; Poaceae
Description: partial small subunit ribosomal RNA
Source: RNAcentral